CAGCCAACACUAAUCACAUAGCAUUCACAAGAAACAACCACUUAAAAAUUAGGCUGGCAAUUUGGGUUGGGGUGACCUCGGAAUAAAAACCAACUCCCGAAGAAAAAAAAAUAAGACCUACAAGUCAAAAAUACUUUUCCCACUGAUCCGUUUAAUAACGAUCAACGAAACAAGUUACCCUAGGGAUAACAGCGCAAUCCUAUUUAAGAGUCCCUAUCGACAAUUAGGGUUUACGACCUCGAUGUUGGAUCAGGACAUCCCAAUGGUGCAAAAGCUAUUAAUGUGUUCGUUUGUUCAACGAUUAAAGUCCUACGUGAUCUGAGUUCAGACCGA
This 333-nucleotide ribosomal RNA is filed under the name Scotophilus heathii (Greater asiatic yellow house bat). RNAcentral's name for it is "partial large subunit ribosomal RNA". It matches the Rfam family "Bacterial large subunit ribosomal RNA", at positions 2201 to 2619 of the family's 2925-position model. The record is from RNAcentral. Lineage: Eukaryota; Metazoa; Chordata; Mammalia; Chiroptera; Vespertilionidae.